RNAcentral lists this ribosomal RNA (342 nucleotides) under uncultured bacterium. RNAcentral's name for it is "bacterial SSU rRNA". It matches the Rfam family "Bacterial small subunit ribosomal RNA", at positions 32 to 355 of the family's 1533-position model. The record is from RNAcentral.
AAUCAACGCUGGCGGCGUGCCUAACACAUGCAAGUCGAACGCGAAAGCCCCUUCGGGGGUAAGUAGAGUGGCGUCCGGGUGAGUAACACGUAGGUAAUCUACCUUCGGGUGGGGAAUAACCAGUCGAAAGAUUGGCUAAUACCGCAUAAUGCAGCGGCACCUAAUGGUGAUUAGUUGUUAAAGCGGGGGAUCGUAAGACCUCGCGCCUGAAGAGGAGCCUGCGGCAGAUUAGCUAGUUGGGAGGUAAUGGCUCACCAAGGCUUCGAUCUGUAGCUGGUCUGAGAGGACGGCCAGCCACACUGGCACUGACACACGGGCCAGACUCCUACGGGAGGCAGCAGU